CCUGCUUUCCAUGUUGUCAACACAAUCCCCUGCUGUAUGAACCUGCUUUCCAUGUUGUCUACACAAUCCCCAGCUGUGUGGACCUCCUUUCAAUGUUAUCAACACAAUCCCUAGCUGUGUGGACCUGCUUUCCAUGUUGUCAACACAAUCCCCAGCUGUGUGGACCUGCUUUCCAUGUUGUCAACACAAUCCCCAGCUGUAUGGACCUGCUUUCCAUGUUGUCUACACAAUCCCCAGCUGUGUGGACCUGCUUUCCAUGUUGUCAACACAACCCCCAGCUGUGUGGACCUGCUUUCCAUGUUGUCAACACAAUCCCCAGCUGUAUGGACCUGCUUUCCAUGUUGUCAACACAAUCCCCAGCUGUAUGGACCUGCUUUCCAUGUUGUCCCCAAAACAUCGUUGGUACUUUUUCUGUCAUUUUGUUUGGUUGCUUUUAGCGUUGUUGCUUUCUGUCUGUCUGUGUUACUGGUUAUAUGUUGCUCUGUCUGUCUGUGUUACUGGUUAUAUGUUGCUCUGUCUGUCUGUGUGUUACUGGUUAUGUUGCUCUGUCUGUCUGUGUUACUGGUUAUAUGUUGCUCUGUCUGUCUGUGUGUUACUGGUUAUGUUGCUCUGUCUGUCUGUGUUACUGGUUAUAUGUUGCUCUGUCUGUCUGUGUUACUGGUUAUGUUGCUCUGUCUGUCUGUGUUACUGGUUAUAUGUUGCUCUGUCUGUCUGUGUUACUGGUUAUAUGUUGCUCUGUCUGUCUGUGUGAUACUGGUUAUAUGUUGCUCUGUCUGUCUGUGUUACUGGUGAUAUGUUGCUCUGUCUGUCUGUGUUACUGGUUAUAUGUUGCUCUGUCUGUCUGUGUUACUGGUUAUAUGUUGCUCUGUCUGUCUGUGUGUUACUGAAAUGUUGAUAAAUGUGCACUGUACCUUUAAAAAAAUAAACUUAAUUAAAGUAAUAAUAAUAAUGUCUGGAUAAUGUAUAGAAUAUCAAGGUUCAGAGUUUAUAACUGGAUAAUGUAUAGAAUAUCAAGGUUGAGUUUAUAACAGGAUAAUGUAUAGAAUAUCAAGGUCCAGAGUGUAUAACUGGGUAAUGUAUAGAAUAAAGGUUGAGUUUAUAACUGGAUAAUGUAUAUAAUAUCAAGGUUGAGUUUAUAACUGGAUAAUGUAUAGAAUAAAGGUUGAGUUUAUAACUGGGUAAUGUAUAGAAUAUCAAGGUUCAGAGUUUAUAACUGGGUAAUGUAUAGAAUAUCAAGGAUGCGUUUAUAACUGGGUAAUGUAUAGAAUAUCAAGGUUGAGUUUAUAACUGGAUAAUGUAUAGAAUAUCAAGGUUCAGAGUUUAUAACUGGAUAAUGCACAUGUUGAGGUCCAGUGUGAGGAUAACAUAGCAUCAUAUAGAGGACCAGUGUGUGUAUGACUGGAUAAUGUAGCUUCAUAUAGAGGACCAGUGUGUGUAUGACUGGAUAAUGUAGCUUCAUAUAGAGGACCAGUGUGUGUAUGACUGGAUAACAUAGCAUCAUAUAGAGGACCAGUGUGUGUAUGACUGGAUAAUGUAGCUUCAUAUAGAGGACCAGUGUGUGCAUGACUGGAUAAUGUAGCUUCAUAUAGAGGACCAGUGUGUGUAUGACUGGAUAAUGUAGCUUCAUAUAGAGGACCAGUGUGUGUAUGACUGGAUAAUGUAGCUUCAUAUAGAGGACCCGUGUGUGUAUGACUGGAUAAUGUAGCUUCAUAUAGAGGACCAGUGUGUGUAUGACUGGAUAAUGUAGCUUCAUAUAGAGGACCAGUGUGUGCAUGACUGGAUAAUGUAGCUUCAUAUAGAGGACCAGUGUGUGUAUGACUGGAUAAUGUAGCUUCAUAUAGAGGACCAGUGUGUGUAUGACUGGAUAACAUAGCAUCAUAUAGAGGACCAGUGUGUGUAUGACUGGAUAAUGUAGCUUCAUAUAGAGGACCAGUGUGUGUAUGACUGGAUAAUGUAGCUUCAUAUAGAGGACCAGUGUGUUUAUGACUGGAUAAUGUAGCUUCAUAUAGAGGACCCGUGUGUGUAUGACUGGAUAAUGUAGCUUCAUAUAGAGGACCAGUGUGUUUAUGACUGGAUAAUGUAGCUUCAUAUAGAGGACCAGUGUGUGUAUGACUGGAUAAUGUAGCUUCAUAUAGAGGACCAGUGUGUGUAUGACUGGAUAAUGUAGCUUCAUAUAGAGGACCAGUGUGUGUAUGACUGGAUAAUGUAGCUUCAUAUAGAGGACCAGUGUGUUUAUGACUGGAUAAUGUAGCUUCAUAUAGAGGACCCGUGUGUGUAUGACUGGAUAAUGUAGCUUCAUAUAGAGGACCAGUGUGUGUAUGACUGGAUAAUGUAGCUUCAUAUAGAGGACCCGUGUGUGUAUGACUGGAUAAUGUAGCUUCAUAUAGAGGACCAGUGUGUGUAUG
RNAcentral lists this long non-coding RNA (2405 nucleotides) under Salmo salar (Atlantic salmon). Its description in RNAcentral is "lncRNA (ENSSSAG00000100034.1)". The record is from RNAcentral. Lineage: Eukaryota; Metazoa; Chordata; Actinopteri; Salmoniformes; Salmonidae.